GGCAACAGGAACUGGAUCUGAAUGCAGAUUUGAGUCACCCACCCACGCCCAAAUCUGAAAUGAUUUCCUAUGGGUACGAUACACCUGUAACUUCGAGGCCAAAGGUAACAACAGCAGUAGCCAAUCAACAGGAGGAACUGAGCCUGUGUCU
Long non-coding RNA from Xiphias gladius (swordfish), 151 nucleotides. RefSeq lists it as uncharacterized. NCBI's taxonomy places the organism in Eukaryota, Metazoa, Chordata, Actinopteri, Istiophoriformes, Xiphiidae. The transcript is spliced from 3 exons. The record is from RefSeq and is a predicted model, not a curated record.